This 494-nucleotide ribosomal RNA is filed under the name uncultured bacterium. RNAcentral describes it as "partial 16S ribosomal RNA". It matches the Rfam family "Bacterial small subunit ribosomal RNA", at positions 28 to 507 of the family's 1533-position model. The record is from RNAcentral.
GACGAACGCUGGCGGCGUGCUUAACACAUGCAAGUCGAACGGAAAGGCCUGCUUUCCCUUGUGGAUUGCGGGUACUCGAGUGGCGAACGGGUGAGUAACACGUGAGUGAUCUGCCCCCAACUUGGGUAUAAGCCUGGGAAACUGGGUCUAAUUCCCGAUAGGACUGCAGGGUGGUGCCUGUGGUGGAAAACGAUUUUCUAGUGGUUGGGGAUGAGCUCGCGGCCUAUCAGCUUGUUGGUGGGGUAAUGGCCUACCAAGGCGGCGACGGGUAGCCGGCCUGAGAGGGGGGACGGCAACAUUGGGACUGAGAUACGGCCCAGACUCCUACGGGAGGCAGCAGUGGGGAAUAUUGCACAAUGGGCGGAAGCCUGAUGCAGCGACGCCGCGUGGGGGAUGACGGCCUUCGGGUUGUAAACUCCUUUCGACCGCGAGGAAGCCACCUGGUUGGAAGGGUGGUGACGGUAGUGGUAGAAGAAGCACCGGCUAACUACGUG